GAUGAACGCUGGCGGCGUGCCUAAUACAUGCAAGUCGAGCGAACGGACGAGAAGCUUGCUUCUCUGAUGUUAGCGGCGGACGGGUGAGUAACACGUGGAUAACCUACCUAUAAGACUGGGAUAACUUCGGGAAACCGGAGCUAAUACCGGAUGAUAUUUUGAACCGCAUGGUUCAAAAGUGAAAGACGGUCUUGCUGUCACUUAUAGAUGGAUCCGCGCUGCAUUAGCUAGUUGGUAAGGUAACGGCUUACCAAGGCAACGAUGCAUAGCCGACCUGAGAGGGUGAUCGGCCACACUGGAACUGAGACACGGUCCAGACUCCUACGGGAGGCAGCAGUAGGGAAUCUUCCGCAAUGGGCGAAAGCCUGACGGAGCAACGCCGCGUGAGUGAUGAAGGUCUUCGGAUCGGAAAACUCUGUUAGUGGGAAGAACAUAUGUGUAAGUAACUGUGCACAUCUUGACGGUACCGAAUCAGAAAGCCACGGCAAACUACGU
Molecule: ribosomal RNA, 495 nt
Filed under: uncultured bacterium
Lineage: Bacteria
Description: partial 16S ribosomal RNA
Rfam family: Bacterial small subunit ribosomal RNA
Source: RNAcentral